RNAcentral lists this non-coding RNA (94 nucleotides) under Maledivibacter halophilus. Its description in RNAcentral is "Clostridium halophilum Glycine sequence". It matches the Rfam family "Glycine riboswitch aptamer". From Rfam's summary of the family: This family represents the bacterial glycine riboswitch. Glycine riboswitches usually consist of two metabolite-binding aptamers domains with similar structures in tandem. Lineage: Bacteria; Bacillati; Bacillota; Clostridia; Peptostreptococcales; Caminicellaceae. The record is from RNAcentral.
UGAUGGACCUCUGGAAAGUUCGCUAAUGCGAUACCGAAGGUGAAAGCAAUUAUUAAAUUGCAAAGCUCUCAGGUCAAGAGACAGAGAAUAAAAU